UUUAAAGAUGAAGAUCGCUUUGCUGGUUUUGGUGCUUCUGGCGUUCGGACACUCGCUGCCUAUGCAGCGGAGGAGAGUAACGAGAUCAGAGAGUUCAGAAGACAACGGGAGCGACUGCGAGGAAAACGGCAGUGAAGAGAAGAAAGCAGAGGAGGAAGAGGA
Sinocyclocheilus anshuiensis is the source of this 162-nucleotide long non-coding RNA. RefSeq lists it as uncharacterized. The transcript is spliced from 3 exons. Lineage: Eukaryota; Metazoa; Chordata; Actinopteri; Cypriniformes; Cyprinidae. The record is from RefSeq and is a predicted model, not a curated record.